GCCGGAGUGGCGGAAUUGGCAGACGCACCAGCUUGAGGGGCUGGCGACCCACAAAGUCGUGCAGGUUCAAAUCCUGUCUCCGGCA
Molecule: transfer RNA, 85 nt
Filed under: Planctomycetota bacterium
Lineage: Bacteria; Pseudomonadati; Planctomycetota
Description: Planctomycetes bacterium (groundwater metagenome) tRNA-Leu
Rfam family: tRNA
About the family: Transfer RNA (tRNA) molecules are approximately 80 nucleotides in length. Their secondary structure includes four short double-helical elements and three loops (D, anti-codon, and T loops).
Source: RNAcentral